GAUUUCUCAAACACUGAAAACGCCCCUCUCUCAAACUUCUCUCUUCUUCACAGCACAUCUCUCAAACCAAAACCACUGAACUGAAAAAUCCAGCGCCAAAUCCAACAUCAAUCUCUUCUAUUCGUUCACUAUACUGCUGGCGAAGACAGAGGCUAGGUGGAAGACGGAGGUCUGC
Rosa chinensis is the source of this 175-nucleotide long non-coding RNA. RefSeq lists it as uncharacterized. The transcript has 2 exons. Lineage: Eukaryota; Viridiplantae; Streptophyta; Magnoliopsida; Rosales; Rosaceae. The record is from RefSeq and is a predicted model, not a curated record.